GGUUAAGCGACUAAGCGUACACGGUGGAUGCCCUGGCAGUCAGAGGCGAUGAAGGACGUGCUAAUCUGCGAAAAGCGUCGGUAAGGUGAUAUGAACCGUUAUAACCGGCGAUGUCCGAAUGGGGAAACCCAGUGCAAUUCGUUGCACUAUCGUUAACUGAAUACAUAGGUUAACGAGGCGAACCGGGGGAACUGAAACAUCUAAGUACCCCGAGGAAAAGAAAUCAACCGAGAUUCCCCCAGUAGCGGCGAGCGAACGGGGAGCAGCCCAGAGUCUGAAUCAGCUUGUGUGUUAGUGGAACGGUCUGGAAAGUCCGACGGUACAGGGUGAUAGUCCCGUACACCAAAAUGCACAGGCUGUGAACUCGAAGAGUAGGGCGGGACACGUGGUAUCCUGUCUGAAUAUGGGGGGACCAUCCUCCAAGGCUAAAUACUCCUGACUGACCGAUAGUGAACCAGUACCGUGAGGGAAAGGCGAAAAGAACCCCGGCGAGGGGAGUGAAAAAGAACCUGAAACCGUGUACGUACAAGCAGUGGGAGCACCUUCGGGUGUGACUGCGUACCUUUUGUAUAAUGGGUCAGCGACUUAUAUUCUGUAGCAAGGUUAACCGUAUAGGGGAGCCGCAGGGAAACCGAGUCUUAACUGGGCGUUAAGUUGCAGGGUAUAGACCCGAAACCCGGUGAUCUAGCCAUGGGCAGGUUGAAGGUUGGGUAACACUAACUGGAGGACCGAACCGACUAAUGUUGAAAAAUUAGCGGAUGACUUGUGGCUGGGGGUGAAAGGCCAAUCAAACCGGGAGAUAGCUGGUUCUCCCCGAAAGCUAUUUAGGUAGCGCCUCGUGAACUCAUCUUCGGGGGUAGAGCACUGUUUCGGCUAGGGGGUCAUCCCGACUUACCAACCCGAUGCAAACUACGAAUACCGAAGAAUGUUAUCACGGGAGACACACGGCGGGUGCUAACGUCCGUCGUGAAGAGGGAAACAACCCAGACCGCCAGCUAAGGUCCCAAAGUCAUGGUUAAGUGGGAAACGAUGUGGGAAGGCACAGACAGCCAGGAUGUUGGCUUAGAAGCAGCCAUCAUUUAAAGAAAGCGUAAUAGCUCACUGGUCGAGUCGGCCUGCGCGGAAGAUGUAACGGGGCUAAACCAUGCACCGAAGCUGCGGCAGCGACACUAUGUGUUGUUGGGUAGGGGAGCGUUCUGUAAGCCUGCGAAGGUGUGCUGUGAGGCAUGCUGGAGGUAUCAGAAGUGCGAAUGCUGACAUAAGUAACGAUAAAGCGGGUGAAAAGCCCGCUCGCCGGAAGACCAAGGGUUCCUGUCCAACGUUAAUCGGGGCAGGGUGAGUCGACCCCUAAGGCGAGGCCGAAAGGCGUAGUCGAUGGGAAACAGGUUAAUAUUCCUGUACUUGGUGUUACUGCGAAGGGGGGACGGAGAAGGCUAUGUUAGCCGGGCGACGGUUGUCCCGGUUUAAGCAUGUAGGCUGAUUGUCCAGGCAAAUCCGGAUAAUCAAGGCUGAGGUGUGAUGACGAGGCACUACGGUGCUGAAGUAACAAAUGCCCUGCUUCCAGGAAAAGCCUCUAAGCAUCAGGUAACAUCAAAUCGUACCCCAAACCGACACAGGUGGUCAGGUAGAGAAUACCAAGGCGCUUGAGAGAACUCGGGUGAAGGAACUAGGCAAAAUGGUGCCGUAACUUCGGGAGAAGGCACGCUGGUGUGUAGGUGAAGUCCCUGCGGAUGGAGCUGAGACCAGUCGAAGAUACCAGCUGGCUGCAACUGUUUAUUAAAAACACAGCACUGUGCAAACACGAAAGUGGACGUAUACGGUGUGACGCCUGCCCGGUGCCGGAAGGUUAAUUGAUGGGGUUAUCCGUAAGGAGAAGCUCUUGAUCGAAGCCCCGGUAAACGGCGGCCGUAACUAUAACGGUCCUAAGGUAGCGAAAUUCCUUGUCGGGUAAGUUCCGACCUGCACGAAUGGCGUAAUGAUGGCCAGGCUGUCUCCACCCGAGACUCAGUGAAAUUGAACUCGCUGUGAAGAUGCAGUGUACCCGCGGCAAGACGGAAAGACCCCGUGAACCUUUACUAUAGCUUGACACUGAACAUUGAGCCUUGAUGUGUAGGAUAGGUGGGAGGCUUUGAAGCGUGGACGCCAGUCUGCGUGGAGCCAACCUUGAAAUACCACCCUUUAAUGUUUGAUGUUCUAACGUUGGCCCCUGACCGGGGUUGCGGACAGUGUCUGGUGGGUAGUUUGACUGGGGCGGUCUCCUCCCAAAGCGUAACGGAGGAGCACGAAGGUUAGCUAAUCCUGGUCGGACAUCAGGAGGUUAGUGCAAUGGCAUAAGCUAGCUUGACUGCGAGCGUGACGGCGCGAGCAGGUGCGAAAGCAGGUCAUAGUGAUCCGGUGGUUCUGAAUGGAAGGGCCAUCGCUCAACGGAUAAAAGGUACUCCGGGGAUAACAGGCUGAUACCGCCCAAGAGUUCAUAUCGACGGCGGUGUUUGGCACCUCGAUGUCGGCUCAUCACAUCCUGGGGCUGAAGUAGGUCCCAAGGGUAUGGCUGUUCGCCAUUUAAAGUGGUACGCGAGCUGGGUUUAGAACGUCGUGAGACAGUUCGGUCCCUAUCUGCCGUGGGCGCUGGAGAAUUGAGGGGGGCUGCUCCUAGUACGAGAGGACCGGAGUGGACGCAUCACUGGUGUUCGGGUUGUCAUGCCAAUGGCACUGCCCGGUAGCUAAAUGCGGAAGAGAUAAGUGCUGAAAGCAUCUAAGCACGAAACUUGCCCCGAGAUGAGUUCUCCCUGAGACUAUAAGUCUCCUGAAGGAACGUUAAAGACGAUGACGUUGAUAGGCCGGGUGUGUAAGCGCAGCGAUGCGUUGAGCUAACCGGUACUAAUGAACCGUGAGGCUUAACCUU
This 2902-nucleotide ribosomal RNA is filed under the name Klebsiella pneumoniae. RNAcentral's name for it is "23S ribosomal RNA". It matches the Rfam family "Bacterial large subunit ribosomal RNA". Lineage: Bacteria; Pseudomonadati; Pseudomonadota; Gammaproteobacteria; Enterobacterales; Enterobacteriaceae. The record is from RNAcentral. RNAcentral also lists the same sequence under 2 other names.